Molecule: ribosomal RNA, 407 nt
Filed under: uncultured bacterium
Lineage: Bacteria
Description: bacterial SSU rRNA
Rfam family: Bacterial small subunit ribosomal RNA
Source: RNAcentral
GGAUAGGAGACUUUCAGAGAUGGAUUGGUGCCUUCGGGAACUCUGAGACAGGUGCUGCAUGGCUGUCGUCAGCUCGUGUUGUGAAAUGUUGGGUUAAGUCCCGCAACGAGCGCAACCCUUAUCCUUGUUUGCCAGCGAGUAAUGUCGGGAACUCCAGGGAGACUGCCGGUGAUAAACCGGAGGAAGGUGGGGACGACGUCAAGUCAUCAUGGCCCUUACGAGUAGGGCUACACACGUGCUACAAUGGCGCAUACAGAGGGCAGCCAACUUGCGAAAGUGAGCGAAUCCCAAAAAGUGCGUCGUAGUCCGGAUUGGAGUCUGCAACUCGACUCCAUGAAGUCGGAAUCGCUAGUAAUCGUGGAUCAAAAUGCCACGGUGAAUACGUUCCCGGGUCUUGUACACACCGA